Molecule: ribosomal RNA, 446 nt
Filed under: uncultured bacterium
Lineage: Bacteria
Description: partial 16S ribosomal RNA
Rfam family: Bacterial small subunit ribosomal RNA
Source: RNAcentral
CCUACGGGAGGCAGCAGUCGAGAAUCAUUCACAAUGGGGGAAACCCUGAUGGUGCGACGCCGCGUGGGGGAAUGAAGGUCUUCGGCUUGUAAACCCCUGUCAUGUGGGAGCAAAUUAAAAAGAUAGUACCACAAGAGGAAGAGACGUGUAACUCUGUGCCAUCAGCCGCGGUAAUGCAGAGGCUUCAAGCGUUGUUAGGGAUCACUGGGCUUAAAGCGUGCGUAGGCUGUUUCUUAAGUCGUGUGUGAAAGGAGCGGGCUUAACCCGCGGACGGCACAUGAUCAUGCGAUACUAGAGUAAUGGAGGGGGAACCGGAAUGCUCGGUGUAGCAGUGAAAUGCGUAGAUAUCGAGAAGAACACUCGUGGCGAAGGCGGGUUCCUGGACAUUAACUGACGCUGAGGCACGAAGGCCAGGGGAGCGAAAGGGAUUAGAUACCCGUGUAGUC